GAUGAACGCUGGCGGCGUGCCUAAUACAUGCAAGUCGAGCGAACAGAUGAGGAGCUUGCUCCUCUGACGUUAGCGGCGGACGGGUGAGUAACACGUGGAUAACCUACCUAUAAGACUGGGAUAACUACGGGAAACCGGAGCUAAUACCGGAUAAUAUAUUGAACCGCAUGGUUCAAUAGUGAAAGACGGUCUUGCUGUCACUUAUAGAUGGAUCCGCGCCGCAUUAGCUAGUUGGUAAGGUAACGGCUUACCAAGGCAACGAUGCGUAGCCGACCUGAGAGGGUGAUCGGCCACACUGGAACUGAGACACGGUCCAGACUCCUACGGGAGGCAGCAGUAGGGAAUCUUCCGCAAUGGGCGAAAGCCUGACGGAGCAACGCCGCGUGAGUGAUGAAGGUCUUCGGAUCGUAAAACUCUGUUAUUAGGGAAGAACAAAUGUGUAAGUAACUAUGCACGUCUUGACGGUACCUAAUCAGAAAGCCACGGCUAACUACGUG
Molecule: ribosomal RNA, 497 nt
Filed under: uncultured bacterium
Lineage: Bacteria
Description: partial 16S ribosomal RNA
Rfam family: Bacterial small subunit ribosomal RNA
Source: RNAcentral